AUGUAUGAUUUUGUAGUAAACAUUCGAUGUUUUUAAGAUAAAAAUGGUCUACACAGCAAGCUGUGUUGUUAUAAAUUGUGAAAACACUAGCAGAAAUAGUGACUGCAAAUUUUAUAGAUUUCCUACAACAUUGUGGAAACAAGAACAGCGCAAUAAAUGGAUAAUUGCCGUAAGAAGAAUAAAUCCCGAUGGAUCUCUAUGGCACCCAAAACCGGACGACAGAAUUUGCAGUGCUCACUUUAUCAGUGGUAGAAAAGCUGAUGAACAAGCCAGUCCCAGUUAUGUUCCAAGGAUAUUUCCCCCUGAGUACAAAUCAAGGCGGAUUGACGAAAAUGCCGCAAUAUCGAGGUUUCAACGUUAUAUGGAACGAAGAAACGCGAAAAAAAUAGAAGCAGUUAGUGCUAGUGCUAGUAAUACAAGUGAGUUUGAAUUGCUGGAAAAUAGUGUUAGUAAUAUUCUGCUCAUACGUUGAAGAAAUAGCAGCUGCUACAUCGAAUUUGGUUUUUUGGCCAAACAAAAAUGCUGUGGAGCAGACAAUGCCAGAAUGCUUCCGUCCGGAGUAUAGUAACACUCGAGUAAUUAUUGAUUGUACAGAGUUUCCUAUAGAAGUACCAUCAAGUGUCGAUAAUCGUGUGUUAUGCUACUCACACUAUAAGAAGGGUUUUACAGCUAAAGUGCUUAUUGGUAUUACUCCAGGAGGCUUCAUUUCGUUCAAGUCAAAAGUAAGUGGUGGAAGAAAAAGUGACUCACAAAUAACAGUAGAGUCAGGAUUAGUCGACUACUUAGAAAAUGGGGACAUUGUAUUGGCUGAUAAGGGAUUUCCGGCAAUAAAAAAGGUAAUUGAUGAAAGUGGAAAAGAAAUUGCUAUUAUUAUGCCACCUUUUCUCAAGAAUAAAAGUGAAUUUACAAGAGAAGAGACAGAUGCAACUUAUAAAAUAGCUCGAGUCGGAAUUCAUGUUGAAAGAAUAA
Molecule: long non-coding RNA, 969 nt
Organism: Cydia strobilella
Lineage: Eukaryota; Metazoa; Arthropoda; Insecta; Lepidoptera; Tortricidae
Exons: 3
Source: RefSeq, a predicted model, not a curated record